This 70-nucleotide transfer RNA is filed under the name Danio rerio (zebrafish). It matches the Rfam family "tRNA". Rfam says of the family: Transfer RNA (tRNA) molecules are approximately 80 nucleotides in length. Their secondary structure includes four short double-helical elements and three loops (D, anti-codon, and T loops). Lineage: Eukaryota; Metazoa; Chordata; Actinopteri; Cypriniformes; Danionidae. The record is from Rfam by way of RNAcentral.
GCAUUGGUGUUUCAGUGGUAAAUUCUCGCCUCCCAAGCGGGAGACCCGGGGCCGAUUCCUGGCCAAUCCA